UCAGCCUCCCGAGUAGCUGGGAUUACAGGUGCCCGCCACCAUGCCCAGUGAAUUUUUGUAUUUUUAGUGGAGACGGUAUUUCACCAUGUUGGCCAGGCUGGUCUCGAACUCCUGACCUCAGGUGAUCCACCUGCCUCGGCCUCCCAAAGUGCUAGGAUUACAGGCGUGAGCCACCACGCCCGGCCAACUGGUGUUUUUUUUUUUUAUUGCUGUUCCCAUAAUGGGCUAGGCUCUUAAAUUUAUAGCUUCAUGCAAGUAUAGUUGACCCUUGAUAAACACAAUUUUGAACAGCAUAGGUCCCCUUAGACUUCCCUCUGCCUCUGCCACUGCUGAGAUGGCAACCCUUUCUCUUUCUCCUUCUCCUUGCCUGCUCAACCUGAAGAUCAUGAGGAGGAAGACCUUUAUGCUGAUCCACUUCCACUGAAUGAAUGAAGGGUAAACAUAUUUUCUCUUGCUUAUGAUUUUCUUAAUAACAUUUUCUUUUCUAUAGUUUACUUUAUGGUAAGAAAUACAUAUAUAAUACAAAUGACAUAUAAAAUAUAUGUUAAUCAACUUGUUUAUGCUAUUGGUAAGUCUACUAUUAGUAGCUAAGUUUUUGGAGAGUCAAAAUUUAUAUGUGGCUCAUGCCUGUAAUCUCAGCACUUAGGGAGGCCGAAGCAGGCGGAUCACAAGGUCAGGAAAUCAAGACCAUCCUGGCUAAUAUGGUGAAAUUCCGUCUCUACUAAAAUACAAAAAAUUAGCUGGGCAUGGUGGCAUGCAGCUGUAGUCCCAGCUACUCAGGAGGCUGAGGUAAGGGAAUCGUCUGAACCCGGGAGGCAGAGGUUGCAGUGAGCAGAGAUUGCACUGAGCAGAGAGAGCCACUGCACUUCAGCCUGGUGACAGUGCGAGACUCUGUCUCAAAAAAAAAAAAAAAAAAAAGUUAUACGUGUGCGCCAGGUGCGGCAGCUCACACCUGUAAUCCCCUACUUUGGGAGGCUUAGGCGGGUGGGUCGCCUGAGGUCAGGAGUUUGAGACAAGCCUGACCAACAUGGUGAAUCCCAUCUCUACCAAAAAUACAAAAAUUAGUUAGGCAUGGUGGCAGGCACCUGUAAUCCCAGCUACUUGGGAAGCUGAGGCAGGAGAAUUGCUUGAACCCGGGAGGCGGAGGUGGCAGUGAGCUGAGAUCACGCCAUUGCACUCCAGCUUGGGCAACAAGCAAGAUUCUGUCUCAAAAAAAAAAAAAAGUUUUAUGAGGAUUUUUGACUGUACAAGGGGUGGGAUCCCAUAGGCCCUGUGCUGUUCAAGGCUCAACUGUAAUUAAUUCUACAGAUAUCUUGUGGAUUACCGGCUCAUGUAUUCAUUCACCAAGUGUUUAGUAAAUGCCUGCUAUAUGCCAGGUAUUCUGUUUAUGGAGCACGUAAUUGGGGAGGAGGUGGCAUGUGAUGGUUCAUUUUCUAGCUGGCUGAGAUGAUGGGACAUAGUAUCACUACUAGCUCCAGGGAGGUGGAGACAUCUAUGACCCUUUCAGGCAGAUGAAUGAGCAAGGAAAUAGGAUCAAGUCUCAUACAUUUCACAUGGGCAGAAAUUUGGCAGAGACAGAACACCAGGUUAGCAGCAAAUAUUGCUAAGAACUAGAGCCAGGAACUAGAAAGUAUAUAGACUAAAAGUCAAUGCCUUCAAUCUUUUGCUUUAUUUUUACUUUUUUUUAAUAAUGGGGUAUAAAUAAAUAAAAAUAUAAAACAGAGUAGAUAAUUAUCUAGAGCACUCAUAAAUAAGUUCUAGAUAGCUAAGUUUCUCUCUUUAAGCAUGAAAACCCUUAACCAUUUGGAAUGCUCGAAAUUAAAAAACACCACACAUAUUACUCUGCCUCUUUAAGUUGAAUCUAAUUUAACAUUUUCUAGGUGUCUGGAUCAUAUGUAUUCCAGAGUAAAGUCACGAUGGCUUUAUGACGUUCUGAGGUACGUUCCAAACAGGUGAGGUAUUGCACACUAGCAAACACAUGAUAAGAAGGUGGAGGAAUUGGGAGAAAAAUAAAAAGAAUGCAGCAGGCCAGGUUAGCAGGAACGUUAAGACGGUGACAGGAACAGCAAAGCCUGGAAGCAAGCCGCCGUGGAGAAGGAAGAACUGUGCUGGGUACCUCACUCUGUUGCCCAGGCUGGAGUGCAGCGGCACAAUCACAGCUCACUGCAGUUUCAACUUCCUGGGUUCAAGUGAUCCUCCUGCCUGAGCCUCCCAAAUAGCUAGGACUAUAGGCUAUAGUACAGUGGCGUGAUCUUGGCUCCCUGCAACCUCUGUCUUCCAGGUUCAAGCAGUUCUACUGCCUCAGCCUCCUGAGUAGCUGGGAUUACAGAUUCAGGGACAGACAGGAUCUUACUCUUCCUGAUCUCCAGAUUACUCUUUGCAGCUGGAAAGCUCCUCCGCUUUCAUCUCUACUUGACUAGAAUCUUACCAUCCCCUUUAAGGCCCAGCUAAAAUGCCACUUUCUUUCAGAAGACCACAUACCAUUAUUGAUUGACUGAUUGAUUGACUGACUGACUGACUGAGACACGGCCUCACUCCUGUUGCCCAGGCUGGUGCAGUGGUGCGAUCAUGGCUCACUGCAGCCUUGACUUCUGGGGCUCUGGUGCAUCCUCUCACUUCAGUCUCCUGAGUAGCUGGGACUACAGACACAUGCUACCAUGCCCAGCUAAUGCAAAUAUCAUUUUUAAAAGGCGACUCAACUGGACGCCUCAUAUGAGCUCCCAUGGCUGCCCAGACAUGCUUUCAUGUCAGUGAUUAUGUAAUUUUUUUUGUAAAUUAGCUUAUGCAAAUAAUCUUGUGAACCCUAACUUAUACAUGCUUCUGCAAAGAAACAUGUUUAACAAUAAAGUUAUAUUGGAAUUCAAAACAUAAUGUUUUAUGGAAUGUAAGACAUUGGGGUAUAGAUAAAAAGUGGCUGGAAAAAAUAUAUAUAUUUAUUUUUAGAGAUGAGGUCUCCUUCUGUCAUCUAGGUUGGAAUGCAGUGGCAUCAUCAUAGCUCACUGCAGUCUCAAAUUCCUGGGCUCAAAUGAUCCUCCCACCUUGGUCUCCUGAGUAGCUGGGACUAUAGGUGCAUGCCAUCAUGCCUGGCUAAUUAAAAAAAAAUUUUAUUUAUUUAUUUUUGAGACAGAAUCUUGCUCUGUUGCGCAUGCUGGAGUGUAGAGGUAUGAUCUUGGCUCGAUGCAGCCUCAACGUCCUGAGUUGAGCGGAGGACCCCGGGCUCCAGUGAUCCUUCCACCUCAGCUUCCCAAGCAGCAGGAAAUACAGGCAUAUGCCACACAGCCCAGUUAAUUCUGUUCACUUUUUGUAGAGAUGAGGUAUCACUAUGUUGCCCAGGCUGAUCUUGAACUCCUGGACUCAACUGAUCCUCUCGCCUUGGCCUCCCAAAGUGCUGGGGUUACAGGCGUGAGCCACCGUGCCUGACCUGGAACAUUGUAUUUAAAAGAAAUUCUUGGCCAGGGGCAAUGGCUUACGCCUGUAAUCUCAGCAUUUUGGGAGGCUGAGGCGGGUGGAUUGCUUGAGCUCAGGAGUUCGAGACCAUCCUGGGCAACAUGGUGAAACCCUGUUUCUACAAAAAAUACAAAAAAAAAUUAGCCAGGCAUGGUGGCUCACGCCUGUAGUUCCAAUUACUCAGGAGGCUGAGGCUGGAGAAUUGCUUGAUCUGGGAAGCAGAGGUUGCAGUGAGCUGAGAUUGCACCACUGCACACCAGCCUGAAUGACAGAGUAAGACCAUGUCUCAAAAAAAAAAAAAAAAAAAAAAAGGAAAAGAAAUUCUCAAACAGGAAGGUUUAGAUUAUGAUGAAAUUUGUGGCUAUGAACUAGAAUAAAGUCUAAACAUGUAGAAGUAAUAUACCUAGACUUUUAAAAUUGGAAGGGUCCUUGAAAGUCAUUUAGGACAAUCUCCCUAUUUUAUAGCAGUAGAAUUUUUGGACCCCGCUUUGUAUUAUGGUCAGAAGUCUCUUUGUUUUGUUAAUGCUGCUUAAUUUUCAUCUAGCUUAUCUUUGGUCUCUUUAUAUUGUGAUUCCAGUGCUACCUGAAGAAAGCUUUUUGCACUGAAUAAUGGAUUUUUUUCUGCAGGGCCAGACCUGACUUUGGUCCAAAGGGAACUAAACUGCAGGACCUCCUUUGAUUUUAAAGGUCGCUAACUUUAGUGAUGCUAAUUCUGAACCUCUGAGGAAAGAAUUGUU
This is a long non-coding RNA of Symphalangus syndactylus (siamang), 4184 nucleotides long. RefSeq lists it as uncharacterized. The record is from RefSeq and is a predicted model, not a curated record. NCBI's taxonomy places the organism in Eukaryota, Metazoa, Chordata, Mammalia, Primates, Hylobatidae.